Molecule: ribosomal RNA, 403 nt
Filed under: uncultured bacterium
Lineage: Bacteria
Description: bacterial SSU rRNA
Rfam family: Bacterial small subunit ribosomal RNA
Source: RNAcentral
CUCGCGUGUCGUGUCAGCAGCCGCGGUAAUACGUAGGGUGCGAGCGUUAUCCGGAAUUAUUGGGCGUAAAGAGCUCGUAGGCGGUUUGUCGCGUCUGUCGUGAAAGUCCGGGGCUUAACCCCGGAUCUGCGGUGGGUACGGGCAGACUAGAGUGCAGUAGGGGAGACUGGAAUUCCUGGUGUAGCGGUGGAAUGCGCAGAUAUCAGGAGGAACACCGAUGGCGAAGGCAGGUCUCUGGGCUGUAACUGACGCUGAGGAGCGAAAGCAUGGGGAGCGAACAGGAUUAGAUACCCUGGUAGUCCAUGCCGUAAACGUUGGGCACUAGGUGUGGGGACCAUUCCACGGUUUCCGCGCCGCAGCUAACGCAUUAAGUGCCCCGCCUGGGGAGUACGGCCGCAAGGCU